Molecule: unclassified non-coding RNA, 215 nt
Filed under: Glomus sp.
Lineage: Eukaryota; Fungi; Glomeromycota; Glomeromycetes; Glomerales; Glomeraceae
Description: partial contains 5.8S ribosomal RNA and internal transcribed spacer 2
Rfam family: 5.8S ribosomal RNA (bases 1-64)
Source: RNAcentral
GUGAUCAUCAAAUUUUUGAACGCAAAUUGCACUCUCCUCGGAGAGUAUGCCUGCUUGAGGGUCAGCCUAUAAAAAUCGACAUCGUUGCUGUUUCGCGGUGGCGUUUGUCGGAAAUUGGGUCAUCUUAAAUCCUUUUGAUUUAAGCGACUUAAAAUUUCCUUUUGGUUCAUGGAAGGUUUUUAGAUCUUAUUUCUUAAAAGGUUAAAGGAAUGGUU